CGUAGGCGGCUGCGCAAGUCGAACGUGAAAUCCCUCGGCUCAACCGGGGAACUGCGUCCGAUACUGCGUGGCUCGAGUCCCGGAGAGGGUAGCGGAAUUCCCAGUGUAGCGGUGAAAUGCGUAGAUAUUGGGAGGAACACCAGUGGCGAAGGCGGCUACCUGGACGGGUACUGACGCUGAGGCGCGAAAGCUAGGGGAGCAAACA
Molecule: ribosomal RNA, 205 nt
Filed under: uncultured bacterium
Lineage: Bacteria
Description: partial 16S ribosomal RNA
Rfam family: Bacterial small subunit ribosomal RNA
Source: RNAcentral